UUGAACGCUGGCGGCAUGCCUUACACAUGCAAGUCGAACGGCAGCACGGGAGCAAUCCUGGUGGCGAGUGGCGAACGGGUGAGUAAUGUAUCGGAACGUACCAUUGAGUGGGGGAUAACGUAGCGAAAGUUACGCUAAUACCGCAUAUUCUCUCCGGAGGAAAGCAGGGGACCGCAAGGCCUUGCGCUCUUUGAGCGGCCGAUAUCAGAUUAGCUAGUUGGUGGGGUAAAAGCUCACCAAGGCGACGAUCUGUAGCGGGUCUGAGAGGAUGAUCCGCCACACUGGAACUGAGACACGGUCCAGACUCCUACGGGAGGCAGCAGUGGGGAAUUUUGGACAAUGGGGGCAACCCUGAUCCAGCCAUGCCGCGUGAGUGAAGAAGGCCUUCGGGUUGUAAAGCUCUUUCAGCCGGGAAGAAAACGCACUCUCUAAUACAGGGUGUGGAUGACGGUACCGGAAUAAGAAGCACCGGCUAACUACGU
This 482-nucleotide ribosomal RNA is filed under the name uncultured bacterium. RNAcentral's name for it is "bacterial SSU rRNA". It matches the Rfam family "Bacterial small subunit ribosomal RNA", at positions 30 to 506 of the family's 1533-position model. The record is from RNAcentral.